AGGUAGAUGAUCUGAUUGGUAAUAGUGGUUGUCUGUAAAACAAUUGGUUUUAAACCGUACUUGGUUCGAUUCCAAGGCUACCUA
This 84-nucleotide transfer RNA is filed under the name Schizophyllum commune. RNAcentral describes it as "tRNA-Tyr". It matches the Rfam family "tRNA". Rfam says of the family: Transfer RNA (tRNA) molecules are approximately 80 nucleotides in length. Their secondary structure includes four short double-helical elements and three loops (D, anti-codon, and T loops). Further hydrogen bonds mediate the characteristic L-shaped molecular structure. tRNAs have two regions of fundamental functional importance: the anti-codon, which is responsible for specific mRNA codon recognition, and the 3' end, to which the tRNAs corresponding amino acid is attached (by aminoacyl-tRNA synthetases). tRNAs cope with the degeneracy of the genetic code in two manners: having more than one tRNA (with a specific anti-codon) for a particular amino acid; and 'wobble' base-pairing, i.e. permitting non-standard base-pairing at the 3rd anti-codon position. Lineage: Eukaryota; Fungi; Basidiomycota; Agaricomycetes; Agaricales; Schizophyllaceae. The record is from RNAcentral.